RNAcentral lists this long non-coding RNA (286 nucleotides) under Lathyrus oleraceus (garden pea). Its description in RNAcentral is "Pisum sativum (pea) long non-coding RNA (PSAT_LNC039047)". The record is from RNAcentral. Lineage: Eukaryota; Viridiplantae; Streptophyta; Magnoliopsida; Fabales; Fabaceae.
UGACAGUUAUAGGCUCGAGUCCCCGACUCCCUAUCAACUUGUUGUGUUGUUGUGUGCUUGGAACUGAUGUAAGUCCAUCGAGUGGCAUUUGGGUUCCAGUGUGCGUGUGUUUAGGUUCGGAUGUCAAUGUAAGUCCAGUGAUUGGCAUUUGGGCUCCAUGUUUUGCCUCUUGUGUGUUUUGGUUCGGAUGCUGAUGUAAGUCCAGUGAUUGGCAUUCAGGCUCCAUGUUUGCCUUUGCCUGUGUUUGUGUGUGGCGUGUCAGCCGAGCUACGAAUGCUCUGAUUCU